This is a non-coding RNA of Bacteroides clarus CAG:160, 237 nucleotides long. Lineage: Bacteria; Pseudomonadati; Bacteroidota; Bacteroidia; Bacteroidales; Bacteroidaceae. The record is from Rfam.
UCGAGAGUAUUGCAAGUCCCGGUGCUUGCGGUAGGGUGAUAUGUAAAUUCAGCAAUCCACUGGCGGAGUAAUUUGCGUAUAAGGACUACGUGUUGUGCGGUUACGGCCGCCUACACCCCGAGCUACGUUUCCGUUAGUUAUCCACACCAGUCUGUAUGGGGACCGGGCGGCGUAUUCCGUUUGACAGGGGUAUAUCCGCUUCUUUCCGGUACAUUCAUUUCAGUGAUUGCUUUUUCC